RNAcentral lists this transfer RNA (67 nucleotides) under Marmota monax (woodchuck). RNAcentral describes it as "tRNA.Ala". The record is from RNAcentral. Lineage: Eukaryota; Metazoa; Chordata; Mammalia; Rodentia; Sciuridae.
GGUCAUGGCUCAGUGGUAGAGUGCUUCCCUAGCAUGUGUGAGGCACUGGGUUCAAUUCUCAGCACCA